GCCCAUCCACGCUCGGUGCACCUGCCUCGCAGGCCUGCCCGAUGCGGACAAUGGCCCUCCGAGCCGCGAGGCGCGACGGGCACAAGUGCAUGGCCGUCGGUUGAGGCCGGGAGCGGCGAGUGGUGGGCUAACUGCGCACGCUGCCUCCGAACCUCAUGUCGACUCAAGGCCUAGUAGGACCUCGAAACGAGGAGCAUGUCGCCUAGCGCGGCAGAGCCUCGGACC
Molecule: unclassified non-coding RNA, 225 nt
Filed under: Eleocharis ovata
Lineage: Eukaryota; Viridiplantae; Streptophyta; Magnoliopsida; Poales; Cyperaceae
Source: RNAcentral